This 337-nucleotide ribosomal RNA is filed under the name Theileria equi. RNAcentral describes it as "bacterial SSU rRNA". It matches the Rfam family "Eukaryotic small subunit ribosomal RNA", at positions 685 to 1023 of the family's 1831-position model. Lineage: Eukaryota; Apicomplexa; Aconoidasida; Piroplasmida; Theileriidae. The record is from RNAcentral.
UUUUUCUUUGCCUGACCAUUGGAAUUUGGUUCGGGUUAGGUGGGGUUCCUUUUAUGUUUCCCGACGUUUACUUUGAGAAAAUUAGAGUGCUUCAAGCAGGCUUUUGCCUUGAAUACUUUAGCAUGGAAUAAUGGAGUAGGACUUUGGUUCUAUUUUGUUGGUUUUAGGAGCCAGAGUAAUGGUUAAUAGGAACAGUUGGGGGCAUUCGUAUUUGACUGUCAGAGGUGAAAUUCUUAGAUUUGUCAAAGACGAACUACUGCGAAAGCAUUUGCCAAGGAUGUUUUCAUUAAUCAAGAACGAAAGUUAGGGGAUCGAAGACGAUCAGAUACCGUCGUAG